CGGUAACAUUUCUAGCUUGCUAGAAGAUGACGAGUGGCGGACGGGUGAGUAAUGCUUGGGAACUUGCCUUUGCGAGGGGGAUAACAGUUGGAAACGACUGCUAAUACCGCAUAAUGUCUUCGGACCAAACGGGGCUUCGGCUCCGGCGCAAAGAGAGGCCCAAGUGAGAUUAGCUAGUUGGUAAGGUAACGGCUUACCAAGGCGACGAUCUCUAGCUGUUCUGAGAGGAAGAUCAGCCACACUGGGACUGAGACACGGCCCAGACUCCUACGGGAGGCAGCAGUGGGGAAUAUUGCACAAUGGGGGAAACCCUGAUGCAGCCAUGCCGCGUGUGUGAAGAAGGCCUUCGGGUUGUAAAGCACUUUCAGUUGUGAGGAAAAGUUAGUAGUUAAUACCUGCUAGCCGUGACGUUAACAACAGAAGAAGCACCGGCUAACUCCGUGCCAGCAGCCGCGGUAAUACGGAGGGUGCGAGCGUUAAUCGGAAUUACUGGGCGUAAAGCGCACGCAGGCGGUUUGUUAAGCUAGAUGUGAAAGCCCCGGGCUCAACCCUGGG
Molecule: ribosomal RNA, 555 nt
Filed under: Alteromonas macleodii
Lineage: Bacteria; Pseudomonadati; Pseudomonadota; Gammaproteobacteria; Alteromonadales; Alteromonadaceae
Description: bacterial SSU rRNA
Rfam family: Bacterial small subunit ribosomal RNA
Source: RNAcentral